Molecule: non-coding RNA, 205 nt
Filed under: Kutzneria sp. 744
Lineage: Bacteria; Bacillati; Actinomycetota; Actinomycetes; Pseudonocardiales; Pseudonocardiaceae
Also listed under: 1 other name
Source: RNAcentral
UACAGUGGCCGUGCAGCUGGUUCGGCCGCCCGCCCGGGCGGCCGUCGUAAGAGGGAAUCCGGUGCGAAUCCGGGACUGCCCCGCAGCGGUGAGUGGGAACGACCGCCGUCACACGCACUGAGCCGAAAGGCUUGGGAAGCGACGGCCAGUAGGAACGAGCUGUACGCCCGCGAGUCCGAAGACCUGCCCGCUGUGCGCCUCACGA